This 1017-nucleotide ribosomal RNA is filed under the name uncultured organism. Its description in RNAcentral is "bacterial SSU rRNA". It matches the Rfam family "Bacterial small subunit ribosomal RNA", at positions 356 to 1376 of the family's 1533-position model. The record is from RNAcentral.
GAGGAAUAUUGGUCAAUGGACGAGAGUCUGAACCAGCCAAGUAGCGUGAAGGAUGACUGCCCUAUGGGUUGUAAACUUCUUUUAUACGGGAAUAAAGUGAGGCACGUGUGCCUUUUUGUAUGUACCGUAUGAAUAAGGAUCGGCUAACUCCGUGCCAGCAGCCGCGGUAAUACGGAGGAUCCGAGCGUUAUCCGGAUUUAUUGGGUUUAAAGGGAGCGUAGGCGGACGCUUAAGUCAGUUGUGAAAGUUUGCGGCUCAACCGUAAAAUUGCAGUUGAUACUGGGUGUCUUGAGUACAGUAGAGGCAGGCGGAAUUCGUGGUGUAGCGGUGAAAUGCUUAGAUAUCACGAAGAACUCCGAUUGCGAAGGCAGCUUGCUGGACUGUAACUGACGCUGAUGCUCGAAAGUGUGGGUAUCAAACAGGAUUAGAUACCCUGGUAGUCCACACAGUAAACGAUGAAUACUCGCUGUUUGCGAUAUACAGUAAGCGGCCAAGCGAAAGCGUUAAGUAUUCCACCUGGGGAGUACGCCGGCAACGGUGAAACUCAAAGGAAUUGACGGGGGCCCGCACAAGCGGAGGAACAUGUGGUUUAAUUCGAUGAUACGCGAGGAACCUUACCCGGGCUUGAAUUGCAACUGAAUGAUGUGGAGACAUGUCAGCCGCAAGGCAGUUGUGAAGGUGCUGCAUGGUUGUCGUCAGCUCGUGCCGUGAGGUGUCGGCUUAAGUGCCAUAACGAGCGCAACCCUUAUCGAUAGUUACCAUCAGGUUAUGCUGGGGACUCUGUCGAGACUGCCGUCGUAAGAUGUGAGGAAGGUGGGGAUGACGUCAAAUCAGCACGGCCCUUACGUCCGGGGCUACACACGUGUUACAAUGGGGGGUACAGAAGGCAGCUACACGGCGACGUGAUGCUAAUCCCGAAAGCCUCUCUCAGUUCGGAUUGGAGUCUGCAACCCGACUCCAUGAAGCUGGAUUCGCUAGUAAUCGCGCAUCAGCCACGGCGCGGUGAAUACGUUCCCG